Molecule: ribosomal RNA, 500 nt
Filed under: uncultured bacterium
Lineage: Bacteria
Description: partial 16S ribosomal RNA
Rfam family: Bacterial small subunit ribosomal RNA
Source: RNAcentral
AUUGAACGCUGGCGGCAUGCUUUACACAUGCAAGUCGAACGGCAGCACGGACUUCGGUCUGGUGGCGAGUGGCGAACGGGUGAGUAAUACAUCGGAACGUACCCAGUAAUGGGGGAUAACUAUCCGAAAGGAUAGCUAAUACCGCAUACGCCCUACGGGGGAAAGAGGGGGAUCGCAAGACCUCUUGUUAUUGGAGCGGCCGAUGGCUGAUUAGCUAGUUGGUGAGGUAAAGGCUCACCAAGGCGACGAUCAGUAGCGGGUCUUAGAGGACGAUCCGCCACACUGGAACUGAGACACGGUCCAGACUCCUACGGGAGUCAGCAGGGGGGAAUCUUGGACAAUGGGCGCAAGCCUGAUCCAGCAAUGCCGCGUGCGUGAAGAAGGCCUUCGGGUUGUAAAGCGCUUUUGUCAGGGAGCAGAUCCUUGUGGCUAAUACCCGCCGGGGAUGAGAGUACCUGAAGAAUAAGGACCGGCUAACUACGUGCCAGCCGCCGCCGUAA